GCGGAUGGACAGUUGGGCAGCCUGGUCUAGGUCAUACCCAGCAGGAGGGCAGGAAACUAAGACAGUUUGGGAAAUACAGCUUGGAGUUUUUGCCCAAACUGAUUGAUGGAGCCAAGUGCAUUGUUGCAAAGGAGUUAGCAGAGUAAUUUGUCCCAUUCUUAAUCUGUGAAUGUUUUGAGACCUGACUUUGUAUGGUUGUUUGCUGGACAGCAUCCAGCUGCCUGCUGCUAGCUAGAAGCACUGAUGCCUGCCCCUAGGCAUUUUCUGAAUGAACCUAGAAACACUGAACUGGGACUGCUGAUUGGAGCCUAACAGCAUGAAUGGUUAUAGGGUUUGCUUUUAUAGAGUUACAUAGGGUGACCAUAUUUCCUGGAUUGGUGGGGACAGUCCCAGAUUUCGGAGGCUGUCUCAGCAUCCGCGCUGCUGCAGAAAAUUGAAGCCAAAGUCCUGUAUUGGUGGGGACCUGCCCACACAUGCCUGGCUUCUGACUGACUCUACUGUGCAAGAGACUCCUGCCUCGCAGCUCAGUGGAGUCUGGACCAGGGAGCAGCCACUCCCCCAGAGCCGGCUAAUCUUGCUCUGUGGAGGCAGAUAACAUCGCUGGAAUUUUUCCAAUGUCCUUUACAAGCGCCUCCCCUUUGGACUUCAGCAGAGGCACACAAGAACAUGGUGCAAACUUCCUCAAUUACUCGCUCUUGUUUACUUUCCUUUGGGCCAAUAGUGAGCUUCCUCCGCCAGCCACUUCCUGCUUCGCUCCCCAUGGCUCUGCUCAGGGGGGUUGUUUUUAAUUAAGAGAAAGGUAGCAACAGAGGAGUCUCUUUGGUCAGGAAUUUGCCUCCAUUGACUACAGAUCAACUGCACUUUGGCCUCUUCUUUUGUUCCCUCUGCAGAGGGAGUAUUCUCUGCUGCACAGGCUUUCAAAAUAAGCUCGACUUCACUUUCUUUUGCCUUAACCAUGCCCAGCACGUUCUUGCAGGGGCUCAUUGAGCUCAGCCCUUCCCACAGGACAGAUGUGAAAUGUUCCCUGUAUGGGAGAAACAGAGUAUGGGGAGAAGGGGCAGCAAUGGAAUUGGGUCCCAUUCUGGCCCCACUUGAGUCACAGAGAGUUUCACUAGUGACUGUAGCAGGGACAACUGCUUUCUCAGACUGCUCAGCAAUUUCCAUGUACGUCUCUGCCCAAUCUGCUUCACACAGCAAAUCACUCUGCUACAAACAGUCAAGAAAUUAUACCCACCAGAGUGGAAUGGAGAGCUCAGAGCUGGCAGGAAGGGGCUCAGCAGGGUGCUGACAAGCCACCAACACCUGGAUGGGCCCUGAACACACCUGCACAGUUUAGCUUUUGAUUUGCACCCCUGUUUCACGCACUCUUUUAUGCCUCUAGAAGCUAUUUUUAGGCCUUGCAAUGACACAGGUUUUGAUCUUUUACUGCCUCCACUGUCCCUGGACUGUAAUGCCAGCAGGAGGACAGGAUAUAGGGCAUGCAUAAGUUAUUAAAAUGCCAGGGGAUACAUGCAAACACUGAUAAACCCAAAUAGAGAAAUCAGGCUCUUGUAGGGAAAAGGAGCAGCCAAAAGCUCCACCCAAGUAGGGCUGCAUUGUAUGAAGGGACAUCUAGGUAGCGAGUCCUACAAGAGGGAGCCAAAGGGAUCGUACAGAGAAAGGAGAAGCAUAGAGUGCCAGAGGUCUUGGGGCAAAUAAAUGCAGUGGUUCAGCACCCAGCCAGCUUCUCCUUGAGGGGUGUAAUGAGCAGGACGGGCAGUUGUCAGCAAAGAAGCCACAGACCACAGCAGUUGCACCAGUUUAACUACAAUUGGUUUGUCAAUUAGCUAAACUAAGUGGGUCCAAAACUCUUGUGUGCAUACCCUGGAAUGAGUUUACAGCUCAUUUACAUUCUGCUAAAUCACUCAAGACUGGCUGUAAAGUGGUUCAGGUGCAUCCCACGUAGGCUUUUGUAGUGGUUUAACUACAGCUUAUUUAAAUACUGUCAUGAGUUCAAUUUUUGUAACUUUUGUGUGGAGAGAUGACCUGACAUUGCCAGAGCAGUCAUGCCUCCUGCGACAACAUGGGCUGGCCAGAAGAGCAAAUUUCACAACUUUGCAAAAACAGUUCAUACUAAACGGAAAUAAAAAGUGAUAAGCUUAAAAGAGAGAGAGAAAAAGUAAAAAAAAAGAAAAAAAAAGAAAUACCAUAAUAUUUUGUUUCCAUAGCACUGAAAUGACUCCACAGUGCUGACACCCCAGUGUUAUGAUAAUAAAAUAUGGCCCCAGUUCCCCAGACUUCAAGGCAAGCUGCAGAGGAACUGGGGACAGUCCCUCAAUAUCCCAGGUUGGCAAGGAGGCAGACAAGUGAGCCUGGCAGGAAACCUGCUUGGUUGUUGAAUUAUCAAAAUUGACAGUUUCUCUUUUGAUGUAUCACCAUUUUGCAAUGGGAAAAAUAUUCUUGUGAAGAACUUUUGCUCAGCUCUUCCCCACUGUUGUGAGGUAGGGCAGCUAGCCCACAACAGCUCCCAUCUCUGCUGCAGGUGAGGGCUACUUUGGAUAAAUAUAAACAUAACCCAAAGGACUUGCUUUCUGGGAUCACAACUCUGGGAAAUGAACCCUAGCCUGCAUCCUUCUGGCAUGUGAUUUUCAUAAAUCUUUUGUUCUUUGCAAGAAGGAGUCAUACCUGACACAGGGCAUGGGUAAUCCUAACUUCUGACCAGGCUGGAGGCUGCUGGUGCAAGACCCCCCUAGCCCAGCAGUUAUGCAACAACAGAGCAAGCCAAUACAAUCUGCAACUUUUCCUUCCCUUUCUUUGAUAGCAUGGCAGGACAGGGGGAUAGCUAGGGCACCUGGGAAGGGGAACAGGCAGCAGGCAGGAGGCUGCUCUUUGCCAGUGCAGGGCAUGAUGGUCCCUGCUUAAGAGGUUGCUAUUUGGACUUCCUGUUUUAUUCUGCACUUUCCCAGGCAUAACUUCACCAUUCUUUAUAACUAUGGGUCUGCCCUUCAGGGACCCAGGGACAGUUCAGCUAAGGUACAGCAGAGUUCCAAGCUGAAGGGAGUGGGACUGUGGUUCAAUCAGUGAUUGAGGAAUAUAAGAUGUUGAGCUUUUUCAGAUGUAGUGAGUGUCAGAGUUGCACCUGAACCCACUACAGCAGUGGGGCCAACCUUCUGGCCAUCAUCUUUGAAAACUUGUGGUGAUUGGGAGAAAUCCCAGACAACUGGAAAAUAGAAUCAUAGAAAAUUAGGGUUGGAAGGGACCUCAGGCGGUCAUUUAGUCCAAAAGGGCAAAUAUAGUGCCCUUAUAUAGAAAGGGAAAGUGCCAAAUAUAGAAAGGGAAGCAGGGAGAUCCAGUCAGCAACAAACAGGUCUGCCUCACCUGAGUCCUUGGAAAAAUCAUGCAGCAGGUCCUCAAGGAAUCUAUUUCUAAGCAGUUGGAGGAGAAGAAGGUGAUUAGGAACAGUCAACAUGGAGUCACCAGGGGCAAGUCAUGCCUGACCAACCUGAUUGCUUUCUGUGAUGAGAUGACUGGCUCUGUGGAUGGGGGAAAGAAGUGGACGUGAUAUACCUUGACUUUAGCAAGGCUUUUGAUACUGUCUCCCACAGCAUUCUUGCAAGCAAGCUAAGGAAGUGGGCUGAAUAAAUGGCUUAUAAGGUGGAUAGAAAACUGGCUGGACCAUUGGGCGCAGAGUGUAGCAAUCAAUGGCUAGCUGGCAGCCAGUAUCAAGUGGAGUGCCUUGGGGUUGGUCCCCAGGUGUUGGUUUUGUUCAAUAUCUUUAUCAAUGACCUGGAAGAUGGGAUGGACUGCAUGGAAGUUUAUGAAUGACACCAAGCUGGGGGGAGUAGUGGAUAUGCUGGAGGGCAGGGCUAGGAUUUAGAGAGACCUCAACAAAUUGGAGGACUGGACCAAAAUAAAUCUCAUGAAGUUCAAUAAUUUAUGAUGGAAUAAUCCCAUUCACCGGUACAGGCUGAGGACUGACUGAUUAAGCAGCAGCUGUGUAGAAAAGGCCCUGGGGAUUACAGUGGACAAUACGCUGAAUAUGAACCAACAGCGUGCCUUUGUUGCGAAGUAGGCUAACGGCGUACUUGGCUGCGUUAGUCCGAGUGUUGCCAGCAGAUUGAGGAAAGUGAUUCUUCCCCUCUGUUCAGCACUGGUGAGGCCGCAUCUGGAGUACUGUGUCCAGUUUUGGGCUCCUCACUACAGAAUGGAUGUAGACAAAUUGGAGAGAGUCCAGUGAAGGGCAACAAAAAUAGUUUGGGGUCUGGGGCUGUGACUUCUGAGGAGAGGCUGAGAGGACUGGUCUCAUUUAGUCUGGAGAAGAGAAGACUGAGGGGGGAUUUAAUAGCAGCCUUCAACUACCUGAAGGGUGUUUCCAAAGAUGAUGGAGCUUUUUCAGUGGCUCAAGCAGAGUGAAAUAGAAUCAUAUUUAUUCUCAUAAGUCCACUUAAGCAUGUAAUAUGUGGAAAAGACCUGGCUCUGGGUGUCUACUGGGUGAGUUAGGCUUUAGCCCCAUUGUCCUCAAAGGGAAAUUUUCUGAAAUGUAUAAGACCCUCUAAAAGCAGUAGUGUCGGCAGUCUUGAGGGUUAACCAAAUUGUCCUGCUUCAAGGAAAAACACUGGCUGCUAAUUCACUCCACAGAUUAUCUGUUCUCAUGUAUACUUAUACCAUCUCUCAACUUAAGUGGUAGUCCUCCUCACCCAUACAGAGGAUCAUCACCAAAGUAAGCAAAAAGAACCAAACAAUACAAAGACCAUUUCCCAGGUGUUAGAAAAAUGUCCCUCAUAUUUUUUGUAGUUCUGUGCUUGGGGGGCUUUCCCUACACCUGGAAAGUCCAGUAAGUUAGUCCACAUUGAAGAGUCACAGACUGCUUUCCUUCCUUUGGAGGACCAGUAGGGGGAAUUACUAUUUUGAAAAUUAAACCAAUGUUGUGAUGAAUUUUAUCAAGAAAGCAGAAGUGCUCUGUUCCACCAGUUCUCAGUCCAGAAACCUUUCCCUCCCACCCCCACAUCAUCCCCAACACGGAAACCACAGGACUCAAGAGCACUACCUGCUGGUACAGAACAGUCCCUCUUUUCAGGUGGCUUCCCCUUUUCACCUCCUUAGAUGAUCUGAAAAAUCUUUCUGGGCUGUGAGAACUGGAGAUAGGAGCAUUGGAAACAUGUUUUCAGAGCCACGGCAAUUAAUGCUGCCACUAUUCCCAUGCUGCCAAAUUUCUGGCCCUAUGGAGAGCCCCAUGGGCUGGCUGACACAGCUCCCUGGGCCUGCAUAUCUGUAAGUUGAGCACCACUGAUGUAGAGAUCCUAUGGCUUAGAAAUCAAAAAAAGGCAGGUAAUUUAGAAACUGGGGAGACUCCUAAGGGUGUUGAAGAGCAGGCCAGGACAACAUCUAGAUACAUAUUCUAGGAACGUGCAAGCACCAGAAGGUCCCAGUCCAUAAACUGCUGUUGCAGAGCGAUUUAUUUUGCUCUCUAGGAAUUUCCUGCAGGGUCACCAUGUGAAGCAAGCACCCAAAAAGGCAGGCAGCAGCAUGGCAAAGUUCUCACUUCUUUAUCCCUUCAAAUCAGAUGAUUUUAGUACAAACAAAAGUACAUUUAUAAAUGUGAAUGAUAAAACCUGACAACAUACCAAUGAGCAGUUGCUCCAUGUGGAAAGACCUUCUCCAGACUAAUCAGAGCAGCCUAGCCCAAGUGCCUCAGUCACCUCACCACUGACCUGUGGGUUAGCUAAGUUAAUUGACUUUGCCUUUUCUUCCAGGCUGAGACUUUUUCUAUAGCUAUGAUCACUGGUGUCCAAACUUUGUUUUUUUGAUGGCUGCAGUACCAGUCAAAGUCAAAGUGUUCCUGGAAGAGACUGUUUGACUGGGGUGGAGCAAGCUGCCCUGUACAGGAGGAUGUGCAGGAUGUACUGCCUUUCAUUAAGAUAGUCCUUUCCUCCCAGCAGACAACCCAUGUGAUCAAGAAAGUAUUGGGAACUAUUGGUGCAACUCCGGUCACUCAGUCCAGCUCCCACCAUCAUGGCGCUGCUCUCCCCUGUGAGAUGGAGAUGCCAGGCCCCAAUGUGGUAGCAGGAUGAUAUUGCAUCGUGAAGUCGGUGCUCUUUAAAGAUCCCUUUUUUUAGAUGGGGCCAAUCGUCUGAAGGGUUGCACAUUCAAUGUUGACUCUGAUAACAUGCAGAGUAAAGAGAUAGGAGUCUAUUUGCUGGUUGGUGAGUUCAGGGGCUGGUUGCAGCCAUAGGCUUCUCCUAAGAAAACAGAUGCUCUAAUGAAAGCUUCAGGAAGGUCGUGAGCUAAGGAAGCUUAUAUGAGAGUAGUGACAGUACAGGCAGCCAUGGGGAAGGGAGGAAGGAUUUGUGGUUCAGGGUCCUUGCAAUACUGCGAGAUGGACUCUGAAUUGUAGCAUGUCACAUUAUGGGAAGGUUUUGCUUUCCUUUUCUUUUUGUAGAUGAAGCAGUUUUGUUUCUGUGGUUGCUUGGAUCUGGUGCAAACCAGAAGUGAAACUGUAAGCUGGAAAAUCUGCAGGUUUCAUUGCUGCUCAGAACAGGGUUUUUUUUUCCUUUCCUUCCUGGCUUGCUUAUAAACUGCUGCUGCCGGCUUUUUAGUUUUGUCAUGACAAAGAUAGUUCAGGAAAUCAGCAUUGGUUUCUCUUAUCUGGGGCACAGCCGUGCAGGGUGGAAGGGGGGGUCACAUUGGCUGUCUGGUCAUGGAAACCAGUAUCUUUGAUCGUUCUGCCCCAUGCACAUUGGGUAUUUGUAAUCCCUCCCAGCUUACACCUGCUUCUUUAUGUUGCUGGUUUUUCAAACCUGUUAAUAUGGAACCCAGAAAAAGAAGCUCGGGAAGGAGGGUCAUGCCAACCUAGAGGUGUAACAGGGUGAGUUAUGAUGCAUGGGGUAAUGGCGACUAUGGUGAUGAUUAUUUUUGUGCCCCUCAAAAAGAUGGUGCCCAGGGCUGCUGCCCCUGUCAUCCCCUCUCAGGUAUACUACUGCACCUACCCACAAACAACACUUUCAAGGCAAUUUCCCCUCCAAUUUAACUUAGAUUGUGCUUGAGAGAUUAUACUUUGAAUGCUCCCUAAGAUAACAAAGGAGUACAUAACCCCAUCAGAGGAAAUGUUUAAUCACACUUUACAGUGAUCCAAAGUUACAUCUCCAGAGUAUUCCAAAGAGCUCACACACAACUUCCUACAAAGGGUUCACAAAACAUAGCAGUUGGCUGGGCACCCUACACUUCACAAAUAGCUUUAAAGUGACCUCUCUACCCUGUGGGAACUGAGAGUACAGUGAAAUACUCAGAACUCUGUAGGAAAUGCUCAGUAAUUCCUGGCUUCAUGCCCUCGGUGAAGAGAUGUGGCCUGUGAUGGAAAGGCCAGCUUUAAACUACAUAGCUCAAAUACUAGGAGCAGUUUAGCUCAGCAUGCAGUUGUUACUCGAGUGUUUUGCUUCUUGGGUGAUUGGUGCGGCCCACGCUGAGCUCCGUACUGCUGUGGGUAGACUUCUGUUGGAUUUGAGCUAGGUUAUUCAAAGCUGUGGUAUGUCUAUGCCACACUACAGUCACAACAGUAAUUGCAGUACAGACUUAUGCUGAAUGAAGGAACCCUCUCCUUGGUCUCUGCUAUUUACAUGUUCUCUGCCCUGCUCUCUUAUAUCCUCCCAAUGUGCCAGGACUUGAGCUAAAUUUGAGACAGUUUACUGUUGACACAGUGAGAAUCACUCCAGGCCGUCUCAGUGCUUUUGCCCUUGUCACCACCAUGGUUCUGUCAAGCCACCUCAACAGCUACCCAAAGGAAAGGCAGCAGAAUGAAUGCUGAGGGACUGGGGCUCUCUGUGCAUGUGCAGAAUAUGUGCAGGUGCAAAGUAGGAUCCAACCCAGGAGCCUGCCUGCCCAGGAAGGUUCCUUCUUUAAUGCUUGUUUUCAUUUUUCAGCUGAUGGGUAUGUAGGGCACGCCCGCAAGCCAGCUCACUCCUUCCCUGUUUACACACAGCCCGAAAAGAUGUAAGAUGGGCUUACAGUCCAAUGCAAGACUCAGGAAAGGAGUGCUGCAUUCCUGAGGAGUGACAAUGGCUUAUACAAUGCAUGCCUGAUCUACACUAUAAAACUUUACUGGCAAAGCUUACCUGCAGUUGGCGUAGCCUCAUGUGUCCACAUCAGCAUUCAGUCUUGUCAACAAAACCCUCAAUUCUGACAAGAAAAGUUGAACCAGGUCAUCAGGAUCCUUUUACCAGGACAGUGCCUGAAUGGUUUCCUGUCCAGUGCAUUUCCUGUCCUCCAGCAAAAAUUCCACUGACAUCAUGGUGAGUAUAAGUCCACACCUAUUUAAAACCCCCCAAAUAUUUUGGAAAUGCCUCUUUUCCUGAGGCUGAGUUUUGGGAGCUCACCUCUGCAAGGAUGGUUCCAACAGUAGCUUGAUUGUGCGCUACUGCUUGUCCUACGAGAGAGGUCUUGGAUUUGUUUAGCUGGUUGUGAGCAGUGUGUGCAAGCACAACUGGGGCAUUUCCUGUGCCCCAUUUCCACUGUGCUGUGUGCUGAUAAACGGUUCAUGAAGCCAUGGUGAGUAUGCAACUACUUUUAUUCUUUUAUACCACUUUCAGGGAAAUUAUUUAGCAAUUAUCUUCUGUUGUCUGGUAUUUCCUCUUUAACAUUAAAAAUAGCUCUGUGUCUGUCUGCCAGUCACCUGGGCUAGGACUUCUGUCAGGAACAUCACUCCUAUACUCAACAUGAGAAGGAAGAAAAAGGAUAGGAAAAGUUGUGUUUUCUGACUUCUCAGCCCAGGGCCCAGGAGACUGGGGAAUGGCAAAGAGACAGCAAGGCCGAGGCAUCAGGCUACUCCUAAAACAAGAUAUUCUGACAGUGAAGUGUCUAACUGAUGAAAACAUCCAUAGGCUAGAUCUCCAAUGGGCACUGCACAGCAAGGGGCUGGACUAGAUGACAUCCUGAGGUCCCUUCCAACCCUACUUUUCUAUGAUCCUAUAAUCUUGGGGGAGCAGGGAGGUUGGCCACUUGAUGAAGCUGACUGGGGGUUAUCUGACAAAGGGGAUGCUAAGGGAAAGUCCCUCACCAGUCAUUUGGAGGUCAGGGGGAGAGAGACAGAGGAAGCCACCUGCAGAAGGGCAGUCAAAGAGGAAGGACCCUGGGCUUCUUAGAAGACACUGAUCCAGAUUCCCCCAUAGAGAAAUGAAGUGCAUACAGCUGCUUUAUUGCUUUGUCUGGAUCUGCACCUCUCUUGUGCUGGCUACAAUAAAGAGCUUAGAAACCUUUGCAAAGAUGCUGUGUUUUGUGCUUCAGCAAUUAUGCAUCCCUGGAGAAAGAGACUGGAAAUCAGAAUGUUCACAACCCUGGACUGUUGGGAAAGGGUCCUUCUAGGACAAGGAGCUGUAUGAAAAGAGCCCAAACAUUGUGGCCCAAAGUUAGUGCCUGGGCUCACUUCAGCCUCAGGAAGCUUAAAAACAUGCAUGGUCAGCAUGUCAACCCACCCCUCGUGCAGCAACUUGAUAAGCAUCCAGAAAGUGGAGCUCUACCAGGGAUGUGACAGUGGUCCUUACCCAUGUCUAUCACUUGAAGAUCAAUAGUCAUGCAUAUCUACAUAGCCUUAUUUCUAUACCCAAGCUUGGACACAGACUGAUAAGGAUUAAAGAAACCUGUGGAGGUCAAAGAUGGCUGGAAGUAGCUCAGUAAACUUCUUUAAAAUAAAGAGGUUUGGGACAGGAUGAUAAUUUGCAAAGAUAUUUUUGAUCACUGGCUUAACUCCCAUUUAUCUGAGUGUCCAGCAUCUCUUCCUCUGGAAGGGAACACAACUAAUACUCCUCAGGGAUGGGCUUAGCAGAGCCAGAAGACCAUGGGACCAUCCCACAAGUGUUUUUUUUGUCUUUCUUUCUGAACGAACUCAGCUACAUGAACAUAAUCAAGGCUUGUCUGCUUUUUUUUUUUUUUUUUUUAUGUCCCACUCAGUCAAAGUGUUGGCCUGCUGUCCUAUUCUGUGUUUGGAGGUGACAGUGAACUUGAAGAGCUGUGAUUUUAGAGUCACAACCAAACAUUUGUGAGAUGGACCCAAGGAUGGCAGAAGCCAGUGGAAGGGCAGUGGCCCAUUAUGGAUUAACUUAUUAGAGUCUCUUCCAGAAGGGCAAGCAGCUUGUCAUCCUUAAAGAAAUAGCAGCAAGACUCCUGCUCAGGCAGUCUUCACCUCAGAAAAGCUGAGAAGUCACUCUGAUUUCCCCGUAGGCUGAAUUUUUAAGGUCUGAGUUAGCAGCUCUGGUUACAGAGGUUAAGGUCUGAGUUAGCAGCUCUGAAUUCAGACCUGGUUGCUAGUGGGUACCACACCAAGGAGGGAACCAGGUGUGCAUUGGCUUAAUUUGUUCUAAGAAAAUCAUCCCCUCAGAGAAAUCCUUGGUAAGAUGUUCUCUGUUGCCUGUCCCCAUCAGAUAGUGCUCAACACAUCGUUGUGAAACUGAGCUUGGAGUGAAACCUCAUUUGCUUCUUUGUAAAGACAGCCAAGGAUCUCCUUUGGAGAUGAGCCCACAAGGACUUGGUAUGUAGCCCUGGGGCUGGCACAAUGUAUUGCGGCUUCACCAUAGGUAAGAAUGCAAUACAAUAAAAUAGAGACAGGUGGGUGGGAAAAGACUCAUUAGACCUGACAGCUCUGCCAAUGGCCUGAGCAGGAUUGUCCUGCACAACACAUUGUCUUGGCCUUUGUCAAGUCUCAUUUUAAAGUAUCAUUUUAAAUGCCCCAAGACAGGGCUACUUUCAUUAGGAGACUGUUCUGUACUCAGAAGCUCUUACAGUCAAUCAGACCUACAUGACACUGGCCAGCAUUUUCCUUUUCUUAAUUCAAUUCCCAUCUCCAGUGAAUCAUCCUAAAGAAUUCUUUACCCUGCUCAGAGCUAACUACCAAUAUCUCUCGGCUGUUACCAUAUCUCCCUUUAUCUUGCUUUAGUCACCAUUGUCAAAUGCAUUACCAGUGUAUUUUCCGGAGCUGAAUUUGGGAGGAAUGUGAUACAACAGAAACAGACGCUGAAAAAUCCCCUCUCAAUACACACGGAAUUGCUGGUGGCAAAUAGAAGGUGAAAAUCCACUGUAUAUAUGGAGGAUGUGAUGAACAGAACAGGUGCACGCUGAGCUGGUUUGCAGACCAACACAGCUACCAAGUACACCCCUGAAACAUGGAAGAUGCUGAAUUUUAGCCGAUUUUUGAUUUUAAACUUCAUUGCAGAACAAUAAGGAAGUUUUUUUUGCCUCCCUACCUACCAUCUGACACCUCCAGGGAAGGAAUUCUACCUGAACAACACAUCAAAGAGCUACUCAGCACAGCUCACAAAGACACUCUCAUGGACCCAGAGUGACAGCCUUUCAUCUUCAGCUCCCUCUGUGCAAAAAUGAAGUUUAUUUCCUACCUAUGGGGACUUUUUACCAUCUUGUACUAUCUACACUUUUCCCAGAGCCUGACGAAGGGACUUUGAUCCCAAAAGCUUGCAGAAAAGGACAGUUUUCUUGCCAUUUUCCAGUUGGACUAAAUAAAGGUAUCAUUUUGGAA
Molecule: long non-coding RNA, 11497 nt
Organism: Alligator mississippiensis (American alligator)
Lineage: Eukaryota; Metazoa; Chordata; Crocodylia; Alligatoridae
Exons: 4
Source: RefSeq, a predicted model, not a curated record